This 382-nucleotide ribosomal RNA is filed under the name uncultured eukaryote. RNAcentral describes it as "partial 18S ribosomal RNA". It matches the Rfam family "Eukaryotic small subunit ribosomal RNA", at positions 592 to 976 of the family's 1831-position model. The record is from RNAcentral.
UGUAAGCGUAUACCAAAGUUGUUGCAGUUAAAACGCUCGUAGUCGGACUUUGGCAGUUCCGGAUGUGUGCACGUCGUGUGCGCACUUCGCGGGGAUUGCUUUUGUGGUCUUGCGUAGGAUGAGGCACUUUUAUUAGUGAACGUCCUCACGCAACCACUUUUUACUGUGAGAAAAUCAGAGUGCUCAAAGCAGGCAUUUGCCGUGAAUGUAUUAGCAUGGAAUAAUAGAAUAGGACUUGGUUCUAUUUUGUUGGUUUGUUGGGACCGAGUAAUGAUUAAGAGGGACAGUUGGGGGCAUUUGUAUUUCGGUGCUAGAGGUGAAAUUCUUAGAUUACCGAAAGACAAACUGCUGCGAAAGCGUCUGCCAAGGAUGUUUUCAUUGA